UACGUAGGGUGCGUGCGUUAAUCGGAAUUACUGGGCGUAAAGCGUGCGCAGGCGGUCUGUUAAGACCGAUGUGAAAUCCCCGGGCUUAACCUGGGAACUGCAUUGGUGACUGGCAGGCUUUGAGUGUGGCAGAGGGAGGUAGAAUUCCACGUGUAGCAGUGAAAUGCGUAGAGAUGUGGAGGAACACCGAUGGCGAAGGCAGCCCCCUGGGCCUGUACUGACGCUCAUGCACGAAAGCGUGGGGAGCAAACAGG
RNAcentral lists this ribosomal RNA (254 nucleotides) under uncultured bacterium. RNAcentral's name for it is "partial 16S ribosomal RNA". It matches the Rfam family "Bacterial small subunit ribosomal RNA", at positions 524 to 776 of the family's 1533-position model. The record is from RNAcentral.